RNAcentral lists this ribosomal RNA (253 nucleotides) under uncultured bacterium. RNAcentral's name for it is "partial 16S ribosomal RNA". It matches the Rfam family "Bacterial small subunit ribosomal RNA", at positions 524 to 776 of the family's 1533-position model. The record is from RNAcentral.
UACGUAGGGGGCAAGCGUUGUCCGGAAUCAUUGGGCGUAAAGAGCGUGUAGGCGGCCCGGUAAGUCCGCCGUGAAAGUCCAGGGCUCAACCCUGGGAUGCCGGUGGAAACUGUCGGGCUCGAGUCCGGAAGAGGCGAGUGGAAUUCCUGGUGUAGCGGUGAAAUGCGCAGAUAUCAGGAGGAACACCAAUGGCGAAGGCGGCUUUCUGGGACGGUACUGACGCUGAGACGCGAAAGCGUGGGGAGCGAACAGG